Long non-coding RNA from Erinaceus europaeus (western European hedgehog), 4026 nucleotides. RefSeq lists it as uncharacterized. The transcript has 7 exons. NCBI's taxonomy places the organism in Eukaryota, Metazoa, Chordata, Mammalia, Eulipotyphla, Erinaceidae. The record is from RefSeq and is a predicted model, not a curated record.
UCUGUCUUCCCCCUCCUCUCUCCAUUUCUCUCUGUCCUAUCCAACAACAAUGACAACAAUAAUAACUACAACAGCAAAACAACAAGGGUAACGAAAGGGAAUAAAUAAAAUAAACAUUAAAAAAAAUAAUACAAAAAAGAAAGAAAAAUAACACUUACUUAUAAAAAAAAGAAUACAUACAACAAGGGCAACAAAACGGAAAAAGUGACCUCCAGGAGCAACGGAUUCAUAGUGCAGGCACAGAGCCACAACGAGAACCCUGGAGGCAACACAAACAAAAACAAAAACAAAACAAAACUGUAAAGAGACUAAGCAGUAGACAAAAUGAAUUACACCCUGCCUCCCAUUUAUGAUAAAGCAUGUGUAGGGCAGACUACACAGCAGACUAGUCCAGUGCAACACAAGUAGCUUCGUAGCUUCAUUUUCCUCCUCUUCGGCCACUCAGAAGAGAAGCACAGGUAGUUAAAAAAAAAAAAAAAAAAAAAGGCCACAGCGAGCUAGCUUGCUUGCUCGAGUUGGGAAGUGAUCAGUAACCUGGAUUUUGAUCUGGGAAAGCAGUUUAUUAGCCCAGUGAGCUACUCCACCAGCCUUCCUCUGCGCCCCGCCCCAUCUGGUCCCAGGGACCUGGAGGGGAAGCCCAAUCCCACUGGGCGGGGCCAAUAUCCAGGAACCCGGAUUACCACACCUCCCCCCCUCUUCUGCUUUAACUUCAGUCCCUGGUUCCUCACCAGAACAGGAAGAGCCCGCAGACAUGGGGUGGGUGCCCUGUGUUGCAUUGCGCCUCGGGAACCCACGAGUUGCAGACCCUGGUCUUCUAGGUGGAGUCCCAGGCAGACCACCCAGGGGUCAGUCUUCCAGACGCUUCGGUUUAUGCUGCGACUGGCUGCUGCAACCAGGUCCUGUAAUACUGCAGAAAACAAACUUGGAAAUGUUCAAACACCGACUAUGACAAUAUGGACUCUGCUACACUUAGUUCCCUGGAAUGAUACGAGUACAAAAUAGUUUUCACAGCUGAUUGCCUGCAUAACAAAAAUAAUUUUAUGACCAGGAUGAAUUUUAACCAAAUGACUCCAAAUUUCUGACUUUAAUCAUGAUGACACAGUGGUCAAACUAAAUGAAAUAAAAGGAAGAUGAAUUCACUGAUGAGAAGCCAAAACUUUGCCCUGAGUUAACCAAGAUGACUUCUGUGAUUGUCAAGCAUGAUCCCCUAAAGGCAGAGUACCACACCCAUUAAAAAAAAAUACUACUACCUUUGCUGUAUGGAUCUUUCCUCUCUCUGCUGAUAAUGAAACCAAAAGAAAAGACCAAGAAGAGUAAAAAGAAGACAAAGGAAAAUGAAUAUGGGUCAUCUCUAGAAGCUGAUGUUCUGGUUGGAGUGAUCAAGAAGUUUACAUCAUUCAGAAACAUGGUAAUUGUGACCCUCAGUCACUGGCAGAGAGUUCAAGAAUGAGGUGAAUCUCAUGCAAGACAGGACCAGGCUCUGCUUCCAAAAUCUUCUGGGAUUCAGGCAUGAACGAUCAACUAGGAAUACCAAAGGAGACCACCCAGGACCUAAACAAGACAGGAAUAGAAUGACCACAGGAACCCACUAAAUCACUGGAUUAUCGCUGGGGCUCAGUGCCUGCACAACGAAUCCACUCUCCUGGAGGCCAUUUUUCCCUGUUCUUGGAUAGGACAGAGAGGAGUCGAAGAGAAAGAAUCCUGCAGGCCUACUUCACAACCCGUGAAGCGACCCCCCCCAACCCCAGCAAGUGGGAGCCAUGGGCUCAAACCGGGUCCUUAAGCAGGUCAUUGCGCUUUGCAUAAUGUAUGAUUAACUCACUGUGCUACCGUUGAGCCGCCAACCACCGCCAUGUUAGUGGACACAUUGCAGAAAUGGGUUCACUGUUAUUUCUACAACUAUCUGUCUAUAUUUGCCUUUUACUUUUUCCUAUGGUCCCAUCUUCUUUGCAGCACUGCUUCACCACUUGUGAAGCUUUCUCCCUGCAGGUGGGGACUGGGGGAUUGAACCUGGGUCCUUGCAAAUUGUAACAUGUGCACUCAACCAGGUGUGCCACCACUCGGCCCCAAUAAAUACCAUUUUCUUAGAAAACAAUCAUUCCUGUGUUACAAGAGUGACACAAAGCCCAAAUUAAGUGUUAACUGUAUUUCUAUGUCCCCAUUACUAUAAAACACUGUUCACUAAUAAAUGGGGACAGAAUUUGUUUUGAAAAUCUAAAGGUUCAGAUUCAAAAGUCCAAGGUCCAAUCCCCCUGCACCACCAUAAACCAAAGCUGAGCAGCACUCUGAAAGGAAAAAAAAAAUUAUAGAGCCAGGUGGUGGCAACCUGGUAGAGUGCACAAGUCACCAUGUGUGAGAAAUUGGGUUCAAGUCCCAAUGUCCCCUCCUGCAGGGGGAAAGCUUCACAAGCAGUGGAGCAGUUCUGCAAGUGACUCUUCUUCCCUUUCCCUCUCCCUCCCCUUAAUUCUCCCUCUCUACUUCUCUGUCUCUAUCAGAAAAUGAGAGACAGAGAAAAUAUAUAAACAGCCACCAGAAGCUGUGGAGUCAUUGUGUAGGUACCCAAUUCUAGUUAUAACCCUGGUGGCGAUAACAAAAAAAAAAAAGCAUGUUUAUUAAGUAUGUAGUGUUAGUAAAAUACAUAGUAACUGUCUUAUGAAUUUACUUUAGCUGUUGCUUUCAAAUCUGUUGACUGUCAUGAGUCUCUGAUUUCAUUCCCUCCCACGAAAUAAUACCCGAUUUAUUGAUAAUUAAUAUUCCCUAUUUUUUUUCUUUAUAAAAAAAGAUUUCAUUUCAGAGCUUUACUCUGGAUUUCCAAGGAUUGAAAUCAGGACUUUGGUCACUCCACAACAGUGCCACUUCUCGGCUAUUCCAUUUCGUUUUUCUUCAGUUUUUUUUUUUUUUUUUGGUCUCCAGGGUUAUUGCUGGAGCUCGGUGCCUGCAUUACGAAUCCACUGCUCCUGGAGGCCAAUUUUCCCAUUUUGUUGCCCUUGUUGUCAUUAUUAUUAUUGUCAUUGCUGUUGUUGCUGCUGGAUAGGACUGAAAGAAAUCGAGAGAGGAGGGGAAACAGGAAGGGGAAGAGAAUGACAGACACCUGUAGCCCUGCUUCACCGCCUGUGAAGGGACCCCCCACACACACACAGGUGGGGAGCUGGGGGCUCAAACCGGGAUCCUUACACCGGGUCUUUGAGCUUCCAGCCAUGUGUGCUUAAGCCGCCGCGCUAACACCCGACCCCCUUUUCUUCAGUUUUUAUCAUAUAAUCUGUACACUAAUAUUAUAUAUUCUAGAUAAUAUACUCUAGAAUUGUGCUCUCUUUAAAAGCAAAUAGCUUUCCUCUAUAUGUGUGUAAAAGAAAGAAAAAAAAAUAAGCCAGGUUCAAGCCCCUGCAGAGGGAUAGCUUCACAAACAAUGCUGCAGGUGUCUGUCUCUUUCCCUUUCUCCCCUCAAUUUCUCUUUGUUCUGUCAAAUAAAAUAAAGUUUUAACAAUCAGAAUGGCAUUGACAAGCAAAAUAAUUUCCUCUCAUUUCUUAAAGUUUAUUUAUCUUGGAUAGAGACAGAGAUAAAUUGAGAGGGGAACGGGAGAUAGGAAAAGGACAGAGAGAUACCUGCAGUACCAUUCAAAAAGCUUUCCCCUGCAAGUGGGGACUGGAGGUUUGAACCAGGGCCCUCUGCCUGGGCUGAUUUCCUUUUAUUUUUUGUUUUUUAUUUAUUGUGAAAGAUAAGGAGUAAGAAGAGAGGGGAGCAGAGAGCACUGUUCAGUUUGGACAAAAGAUGGUGUCAGGGGUGAGGGUAGACAGCGUAAUGGUUAUUAAAAGAGACUUGCAUGCCUGAGGCUCCAAAGUCCCAGGUUUAAUUCCCCACACCACCAUAAACCAGAGCUGAGCAGUGCUCUGAUAAAAAAAAAAAAAAAAAGUUUUGCCAGGAAUUGAACUAGUGACCUCAGAGUCUUCAGUCUUUAAGCAUGCAAGUUAGUGCUGUAACAGACUGAGCUAUUUCCCCAGGCCCCUCUAAUAUUUCAACUUACAGGG